AGAACGAACGCUGGCGGCAUGUCUAACACAUGCAAGUCGAACGCUUUUGGGGCUUCGGUCCCAAAGGAGUGGCGCACGGGUGAGUAGCGCGUGGGAACCUGCCCUGUUGUGGGGAUAACCGAGGGAAACUUCGGCUAAUACCGCAUACGCCCGGGGGAAACUCCGGGGAAAGAUUUAUCGCAGCAGGAGGGGCCCGCGUCGGAUUAGGUAGUUGGUGGGGUAACGGCCCACCAAGCCUGUGAUCCGUAGCUGGUCUGAGAGGAUGAUCAGCCACACUGGGACUGAGACACGGCCCAGACUCCUACGGGAGGCAGCAGUGGGGAAUAUUGGACAAUGGGCGCAAGCCUGAUCCAGCAAUGCCGCGUGAGUGAUGAAGGCCUUCGGGUUGUAAAGCUCUUUCGCACGCGACGAUGAUGACGGUAGCGUGAGAAGAGCCCCGGCUAACUUCGUGCCAGCAGCCGC
This 462-nucleotide ribosomal RNA is filed under the name uncultured bacterium. Its description in RNAcentral is "SSU rRNA". It matches the Rfam family "Bacterial small subunit ribosomal RNA", at positions 26 to 518 of the family's 1533-position model. The record is from RNAcentral.